AUUGAACGCUGGCGGCAGGCCUAACACAUGCAAGUCGAGCGGAUGAGGGGAGCUUGCUCCCUGAUUUAGCGGCGGACGGGUGAGUAAUGCCUAGGAAUCUGCCUGGUAGUGGGGGAUAACGUUCCGAAAGGAACGCUAAUACCGCAUACGUCCUACGGGAGAAAGCAGGGGACCUUCGGGCCUUGCGCUAUCAGAUGAGCCUAGGUCGGAUUAGCUAGUUGGUGAGGUAAUGGCUCACCAAGGCGACGAUCCGUAACUGGUCUGAGGGGAUGAUCAGUCACACUGGAACUGAGACACGGUCCAGACUCCUACGGGAGGCAGCAGUGGGGAAUAUUGGACAAUGGGCGAAAGCCUGAUCCAGCCAUGCCGCGUGUGUGAAGAAGGUCUUCGGAUUGUAAAGCACUUUAAGUUGGGAGGAAGGGCUGCUGGUUAAUACCCUGCAGUUUUGACGUUACCAACAGAAUAAGCACCGGCUAACUUCGUG
This 484-nucleotide ribosomal RNA is filed under the name uncultured bacterium. RNAcentral describes it as "partial 16S ribosomal RNA". It matches the Rfam family "Bacterial small subunit ribosomal RNA", at positions 30 to 507 of the family's 1533-position model. The record is from RNAcentral.